UACGUAGGGGGCUAGCGUUGUCCGGAAUCAUUGGGCGUAAAGAGCGUGUAGGCGGCCCGGUAAGUCCGCUGUGAAAGUCGGGGGCUCAACCCUCGAAUGCCGGUGGAUACUGUCGGGCUAGAGUGCGGAAGAGGCGAGUGGAAUUCCUGGUGUAGCGGUGGAAUGCGCAGAUAUCAGGAGGAACACCGGUGGCGAAGGCGGGUCUCUGGGCAGUAACUGACGCUGAGGAGCGAAAGCGUGGGGAGCGAACAGG
Molecule: ribosomal RNA, 253 nt
Filed under: uncultured bacterium
Lineage: Bacteria
Description: partial 16S ribosomal RNA
Rfam family: Bacterial small subunit ribosomal RNA
Source: RNAcentral